Molecule: ribosomal RNA, 379 nt
Filed under: uncultured eukaryote
Lineage: Eukaryota
Description: partial 18S ribosomal RNA
Rfam family: Eukaryotic small subunit ribosomal RNA
Source: RNAcentral
CAAUAGCGUAUAUUUAAGUUGUUGCAGUUAAAAAGCUCGUAGUUGGAUUUCGGGUAGGAUUUGCCGGUCCGUCUUUGAGAUGUGUACUGGUAAGUCCUAUCUUCUUGUCGGGGACCAGCUCCUGGGCUUCACUGUCCGGGACUGGGAGCCGACGAAGUUACUUUGAGUAAAUUAGAGUGUUCAAAGCAAGCCUACGCUCUGAAUAUAUUAGCAUGGAAUAACACGAUAGGACUCUGGCUUAUCUUGUUGGUCUGUGAGACCAGAGUAAUGAUUAAGAGGGACAGUCGGGGACAUUCGUAUUUCGUUGUCAGAGGUGAAAUUCUUGGAUUUACGGAAGACGAACAUCUGCGAAAGCAUUUGCCAAGGAUGUUUUCAUUGA